Molecule: ribosomal RNA, 442 nt
Filed under: uncultured bacterium
Lineage: Bacteria
Description: partial 16S ribosomal RNA
Rfam family: Bacterial small subunit ribosomal RNA
Source: RNAcentral
CCUACGGGGUGCAGCAGUGGGGAAUAUUGGGCAAUGGGCGCAAGCCUGACCCAGCAACGCCGCGUGAAGGAAGAAGGCUCUCGGGUUGUAAACUUCUUUUCUGAGGGACGAAGAAAGUGACGGUACCUCAGGAAUAAGCCACGGCUAACUACGUGCCAGCAGCCGCGGUAAUACGUAGGUGGCAAGCGUUAUCCGGAUUUAUUGUGUGUAAAGGGCGUGUAGGCGGGAAAGCAAGUCAGAUGUGAAAACUCAGGGCUCAACCCUGAGCCUGCAUUUGAAACUGUUUUUCUUGAGUGCUGGAGAGGCAAUCGGAAUUCGGUGUGUAGCGGUGAAAUGCGUAGAUAUACGGAGGAACACCAGUGGCGAAGGCGGAGUGCUGGACAGUAACUGACGCUGAGGCGCGAAAGCGUGGGGAGCAAACAGGAUUAGAUACCCGGGUGUC